Molecule: ribosomal RNA, 477 nt
Filed under: uncultured Methanomicrobiales archaeon
Lineage: Archaea; Methanobacteriati; Methanobacteriota; Methanomicrobia; Methanomicrobiales
Description: bacterial SSU rRNA
Rfam family: Archaeal small subunit ribosomal RNA
Source: RNAcentral
GGAAUUGACGGGGAGCACCACAACGGGUGGAGCUUGCGGUUUAAUUGGAUUCAACGCCGGAAAUCUUACCGGGACCGACAGCAAUAUGAAGGCCAGGCUGAAGACUUUGCCGGAUUAGCUGAGAGGUGGUGCAUGGCCGUCGUCAGUUCGUACUGUGAAGCAUCCUGUUAAGUCAGGCAACGAGCGAGACCCACGCCAACAGUUGCCAGCUCGUCCUCCGGGAUGGUGGGGACACUGUUGGGACCGCCUCUGCUAAAGAGGAGGAAGGAAUGGGCAACGGUAGGUCAGCAUGCCCCGAAUUAUCUGGGCUACACGCGGGCUACAAUGGGUGGGACAAUGGGUAUCGACACCGAAAGGUGAAGGCAAUCUCCUAAACCCAUCCGUAGUUCGGAUUGUGGGCUGCAACUCGCCCACAUGAAGCUGGAAUCUGUAGUAAUCGUGUCUCAAAAUGGCACGGUGAAUAUGUCCCUGCUCCUU